UGCUCCUUUGACAGAGCAACAGCAAGCCGCCAUUGUGACUCUCUCUCAUGCCGUCGCCGAUCGGCCGUUUCCUCUCAAUUUGGCCAAAGACCGUGCCUCCGGGCAGGAGAAUGGCUUGUCCGUUUCCACGAAGGAGAACGCCUCGGGCUUCGAACACUCUGGAGCUGCAGAAGCCGUUCUCGUCAAUACAAAUCAGACAGAGGAGAAGUAUCGGCAGUAUGUGAAUACAUUGACUGGGCGGAUAGAGACAUGUGAUGGCAUACUUCGCCAGGUAGAUCUUAAGUAUCGGCAGUUGGUG
Long non-coding RNA from Morus notabilis, 298 nucleotides. RefSeq lists it as uncharacterized. NCBI's taxonomy places the organism in Eukaryota, Viridiplantae, Streptophyta, Magnoliopsida, Rosales, Moraceae. The record is from RefSeq and is a predicted model, not a curated record. The transcript has 3 exons.